Molecule: ribosomal RNA, 472 nt
Filed under: Pasteurellaceae bacterium canine oral taxon 271
Lineage: Bacteria; Pseudomonadati; Pseudomonadota; Gammaproteobacteria; Pasteurellales; Pasteurellaceae
Description: bacterial SSU rRNA
Rfam family: Bacterial small subunit ribosomal RNA
Source: RNAcentral
GAGUUUGAUUAUGGCUCAGAUUGAACGCUGGCGGCAGGCUUAACACAUGCAAGUCGAACGGUAGCAGGAGAAAGCUUGCUUUCUUGCUGACGAGUGGCGGACGGGUGAGUAAUGCUUGGGAAUCUGGCUUAUGGAGGGGGAUAACUACGGGAAACUGUAGCUAAUACCGCGUAACAUCUACGGAUUAAAGAAUGGGACAUUAGCCAUUCGCCAUAAGAUGAGCCCAAGUGGGAUUAGGUAGUUGGUGGGGUAAAGGCCUACCAAGCCGACGAUCUCUAGCUGGUCUGAGAGGAUGACCAGCCACACUGGAACUGAGACACGGUCCAGACUCCUACGGGAGGCAGCAGUGGGGAAUAUUGCGCAAUGGGGGCAACCCUGACGCAGCCAUGCCGCGUGAAUGAAGAAGGCCUUCGGGUUGUAAAGUUCUUUCGGUGGUGAGGAAGGCUUAAGUGCUAAUAGUACUUAAGAUGAC